UACGAAGGGUGCAAGCGUUACUCGGAAUUACUGGGCGUAAAGCGUGCGUAGGUGGUUUUUUAAGUCCGUUGUGAAAGCCCUGGGCUCAACCUGGGGAUGGCAGUGGAUACUGGAAAGCUAGAGUGCGGUAGAGGGUAGUGGAAUUCCCGGUGUAGCAGUGAAAUGCGUAGAGAUCGGGAGGAACACCAGUGGCGAAGGCGGCUACCUGGACCAGCACUGACACUGAGGCACGAAAGCGUGGGGAGCAAACGGG
RNAcentral lists this ribosomal RNA (253 nucleotides) under uncultured prokaryote. RNAcentral's name for it is "partial 16S ribosomal RNA". It matches the Rfam family "Bacterial small subunit ribosomal RNA", at positions 524 to 776 of the family's 1533-position model. The record is from RNAcentral.